AAAGCGAGUCUGAAUAGGGCGUUUAGUAUUUGGUCGUAGACCCGAAACCAGGUGAUCUACCCUUGGUCAGGUUGAAGUUCAGGUAACACUGAAUGGAGGACCGAACCGACUUACGUUGAAAAGUGAGCGGAUGAACUGAGGGUAGCGGAGAAAUUCCAAUCGAACCUGGAGAUAGCUGGUUCUCUCCGAAAUAGCUUUAGGGCUAGCCUCAAGUGAUGAUUAUUGGAGGUAGAGCACUGUUUGGACGAGGGGCCCCUCUCGGGUUACCGAAUUCAGACAAACUCCGAAUGCCAAUUAAUUUAACUUGGGAGUCAGAACAUGGGUGAUAAGGUCCGUGUUCGAAAGGGAAACAGCCCAGACCACCAGCUAAGGUCCCAAAAUAUAUGUUAAGUGGAAAAGGAUGUGGCGUUGCCCAGACAACUAGGAUGUUGGCUUAGAAGCAGCCAUCAUUUAAAGAGUGCGUAAUAGCUCACUAGUCGAGUGACACUGCGCCGAAAAUGUACCGGGGCUAAACAUAUUACCGAAGCUGUGGAUUGUCCUUUGGACAAUGGUAGGAGAGCGUUCUAAGGGCGUUGAAGCAUGAUCGUAAGGACAUGUGGAGCGCUUAGAAGUGAGAAUGCCGGUGUGAGUAGCGAAAGACGGGUGAGAAUCCCGUCCACCGAUUGACUAAGGUUUCCAGAGGAAGGCUCGUCCGCUCUGGGUUAGUCGGGUCCUAAGCUGAGGCCGACAGGCGUAGGCGAUGGAUAACAGGUUGAUAUUCCUGUACCACCUAUAAUCGUUUUAAUCGAUGGGGGGACGCAGUAGGAUAGGCGAAGCGUGCGAUUGGAUUGCACGUCUAAGCAGUAAGGCUGAGUAUUAGGCAAAUCCGGUACUCAUUAAGGCUGAGCUGUGAUGGGGAGAAGACAUUGUGUCUUCGAGUCGUUGAUUUCACACUGCCGAGAAAAGCCUCUAGAUAGAAAAUAGGUGCCCGUACCGCAAACCGACACAGGUAGUCAAGAUGAGAAUUCUAAGGUGAGCGAGCGAACUCUCGUUAAGGAACUCGGCAAAAUGACCCCGUAACUUCGGGAGAAGGGGUGCUCUUUAGGGUUAACGCCCAGAAGAGCCGCAGUGAAUAGGCCCAAGCGACUGUUUAUCAAAAACACAGGUCUCUGCUAAACCGUAAGGUGAUGUAUAGGGGCUGACGCCUGCCCGGUGCUGGAAGGUUAAGAGGAGUGGUUAGCUUCUGCGAAGCUACGAAUCGAAGCCCCAGUAAACGGCGGCCGUAACUAUAACGGUCCUAAGGUAGCGAAAUUCCUUGUCGGGUAAGUUCCGACCCGCACGAAAGGCGUAACGAUUUGGGCACUGUCUCAACGAGAGACUCGGUGAAAUCAUAGUACCUGUGAAGAUGCAGGUUACCCGCGACAGGACGGAAAGACCCCGUGGAGCUUUACUGUAGCCUGAUAUUGAAAUUCGGCACAGCUUGUACAGGAUAGGUAGGAGCCUUUGAAACGUGAGCGCUAGCUUACGUGGAGGCGCUGGUGGG
Molecule: ribosomal RNA, 1522 nt
Filed under: Staphylococcus aureus
Lineage: Bacteria; Bacillati; Bacillota; Bacilli; Caryophanales; Staphylococcaceae
Description: partial 23S ribosomal RNA
Rfam family: Bacterial large subunit ribosomal RNA
Source: RNAcentral